This 515-nucleotide ribosomal RNA is filed under the name uncultured bacterium. RNAcentral's name for it is "bacterial SSU rRNA". It matches the Rfam family "Bacterial small subunit ribosomal RNA", at positions 16 to 518 of the family's 1533-position model. The record is from RNAcentral.
UUAUGGCGUCAGGAUGAACGCUAGCUACAGGCUUAACACAUGCAAGUCGAGGGGCAGCAUGAAGUCAGCUUGCUGACUUGAUGGCGACCGGCGAAUGGGUGAGUAACGCGUAUCCAACCUGGCCUGUGCUCAUGGAUAGCCCUUAGAAAUGAGGAUUAAUACAUGAUGGUCUCCUUUGAUCGCCUGAGAUUAGGAGUAAAGGCUUGCCGGCACAGGAUGGGGAUGCGUUCCAUUAGAUAGUUGGCGGGGUAACGGCCCACCAAGUCUAUGAUGGAUAGGGGUUCUGAGAGGAAGGUCCCCCCACAUUGGUACUGAGACACGGACCAAACUCCUACGGGAGGCAGCAGUGAGGAAUAUUGGUCAAGUGGGCGGAAGCCUGAACCAGCCCAAGUAGCGUGAAGGAAGACGGCCCUACGGGUUGUAAACUUCUUUUGUCGGGGACUAACCGCGGGCACGUGUGCCCGCCUGCAUGUACCCGGUGAAUAAGGACCGGCUAAUUCCGUGCCAGCAGCCGC